CCUACGGGAGGCAGCAGUGAGGAAUAUUGGUCAAUGGGCGCGAGCCUGAACCAGCCAAGUCGCGUGAGGGAAGACGGUCCUAUGGAUUGUAAACCUCUUUUGUCGGGGAGCAAAAGACGCCACGUGUGGCGUUCCGAGAGUACCCGAAGAAAAAGCAGCGGCUAACUCCGUGCCAGCAGCCGCGGUAAUACGGAGGAUGCGAGCGUUAUCCGGAUUGAGUGGGUUUAAAGGGUGCGCAGGCGGAAGAUCAAGUCAGCGGUAAAAUUGAGCGGCUCACCCUCUUCGAGCCGUUGAAACUGGUUUUCUUGAGUGUGCGAGAGGUAUGCGGAAUGCGUGGUGUAGCGGUGAAAUGCAUAGAUAUCACGCAGAACUCCGAUUGCGAAGGCAGCAUACCGGCGCUCAACUGACGCUCAUGCACGAAAGUGUGGGUAUCGAACAGGAUUAGAUACCCCGGUAGUC
Molecule: ribosomal RNA, 459 nt
Filed under: uncultured bacterium
Lineage: Bacteria
Description: partial 16S ribosomal RNA
Rfam family: Bacterial small subunit ribosomal RNA
Source: RNAcentral